UUCCAGACUCCUACGGGAGGCAGCAGUGGGGAAUAUUGCACAAUGGGGGAAACCCUGAUGCAGCGACGCCGCGUGAGUGAAGAAGUCUUUCGGUAUGUAAAGCUCUCUCAGCAGGGAAGAUAAUGACGGUACCUGAGUAAGAAGCCCCGGCUAACUACGUGCCAGCAGCCGCGGUAAUACGUAGGGGGCAAGCGUUAUCCGGAUUUACUGGGUGUAAAGGGAGCGUAGACGGCAUGGCAAGUCUGAAGUGAAAGCCCGGGGCUCAACCGCGGGACUGCUUUGGAAACUGUUAAGCUGGAGUGCAGGAGAGGUAAGUGGAAUUCCUAGUGUAGCGGUGAAAUGCGUAGAUAUUAGGAGGAACACCAGUGGCGAAGGCGGCUUACUGGACUGUAACUGACGUUGAGGCUCGAAAGCGUGGGGAGCAAACAGGAUUAGAUACCCGCGUAAC
Molecule: ribosomal RNA, 448 nt
Filed under: uncultured bacterium
Lineage: Bacteria
Description: bacterial SSU rRNA
Rfam family: Bacterial small subunit ribosomal RNA
Source: RNAcentral